GUGGGGAAUAUUGGGCAAUGGGCGAAAGCCUGACCCAGCAAUGCCGCGUGAGUGAUGAAGGCCUUCGGGUUGUAAAGCUCUGUCGGGAGGGAAGAAAAAACGGCGUAACGAACCGGCUUGACGGUACCUCCAAAGGAAGCACCGGCUAACUCUGUGCCAGCAGCCGCGGUAAUACAGAGGGUGCUAGCGUUGUUCGGAAUUACUGGGCGUAAAGCGCGUGUAGGCGGCGUCGUAAGUCACCUGUGAAAUCCCUUGGCUUAACCAAGGAAGUGCAUGUGAUACUGCGGUGCUUGAGUCUCGGAGGGGAUGGCGGAAUUCCUGGUGUAGAGGUGAAAUUCGUAGAUAUCAGGAGGAACACCUGUGGCGAAGGCGGCCAUCUGGACGAGCACUGACGCUGAGACGCGAAAGCGUGGGUAGCAAACAGGAUUAGAUACCCUUGUAGUCC
This 445-nucleotide ribosomal RNA is filed under the name uncultured bacterium. Its description in RNAcentral is "bacterial SSU rRNA". It matches the Rfam family "Bacterial small subunit ribosomal RNA", at positions 354 to 796 of the family's 1533-position model. The record is from RNAcentral.